UCCAUUUCUGUACAGAUGGGAAAUGCACUGGAAUAGAACUGGAUGGUUUAAGUUCAUCAUCUGUUCAUCUCUUGAUAGAGAUCAAUAUAGAUUAGAGAUUUUGUGGCUAAUUGUGAAGAAAAGCAUUUUUGGAAUGCCUGGGCAGUACAAGCGUGAAUCACAGCAGCAAGCCAUUGCUUCUGUCUCCCAACAUGUAUCAUGGAACUAUUUUCUUCCAUGCCUUUUGUAGUACAGUACAUUCUACAUUAUGAAUCAUUUUCAUGCAAAAAUAGAAACAAGUGAUGACUAUGUUCACUUCACAACAGAGAAGAAAGGACUGGCAUCCCAUAAUUAAAUUACCAGGUUUAGUGGCAUUGUAACCAAUUGCUGCACACACGGCCUUGAGGGUUGGCUGUGGAGAGGUUAAUAGACCCCUAGCACACGUUUCCUAACAAAAUAUGAUUUUUUGCAAAGUCAGAUUCUGGUCCUUGGGGAAGAUCCAAAGUAACACUUUGUUAUUUAGUGCCAUUUUGGAUGUUGUCACACUGAUGAUGCCAUACCUUAAAGCGAAAUGAAACGCUGCUGUUCACGGCACUGUGCCUAUCAUCCCUAUGAAGGGAACAAAGAACAAAGCACCCGGGCAUUGGAUGUACAGUCUACAGCAUUCUGGGGUGUGGGAGGUGAGACGCUUGGUUCAGGCACUUUGUUCAUCUCUUCCAUCAGUCCUACCUGUGUCACGCACGGCUGCUGUGGAGCUGUGUCUCCCAGACAUGAGCUGCUUGGAGCCAGGAGCAUGGUUCUCAGGAGUAAAGUGCCAAACCUGACCUAGUAAUGCUGCUGGGAGGCUGGGAAUAUUAAUUCAUGCUUAUUGCCCUCCUAACAUGGCUGCUUGGGUUUUCUCCAGUCUGCAGCACACUCCUGCUUGGGAUGUGGGCAGAGAAAGCCUAAGCCUUCCUGCAGAAGAUCAUGUAGGGAUUCCCUUAGGUGCCUAGCUCAGCCCACAACAGAUGUCCAUUUUGUGAAGUGUAGUAAUGACUGGAGACAUUGCCAUUUUCCAGCUGCUCAGCAUGGCCCAUCAUCUAGUUCUGCUGGAAGAAGAGACUGCAGUCACACAUGCACUUUCAAUCUAGCAAAUUCAGUCAGGUAAACUGAAGACAGCAGCUUUUAAACCCCAGUCUCUCUGUCUGAAGCGAUUGCCCCUUCUGUAACACUCCAGUGGCACGGUAACUUGAGCAUUCUUCAGUGAGAAUACAUCAAAGCUGCAGGUUUGGGGGCCCUUUAUAUUUUUGCUAUUUUUUUUUUUUACUGGGAGGAAUGUGACUAGAGGGCUAUUCAGUGGGGUGCCCAACCCACAGAUGGGAAUUAUAGUCGCACAGUUGAUAUUGCCUGUGCAGUGAUAGUUGACAAUUUAAUAAGCAACAUACACAACACAUUGAAUGGACUAGUAAAAUGGAGCUGCAGUGGCCUUGAGCUUGAUCUCUUGCAGUAAAUCAGGAAUUGUAUUACAGAGGCCAGAGAAGUCAUGCUAGUACUGAAGAGAUUAGAGUUGGCCUCAAUACUGAAAGGGCUGAAGGCAUUUUAAUUUUAUGGAAUUGUAAUUUAAGCAAGAAGGAAAUUUUACAGGUUUUUUUUCUGCCACACGGACAUGAUAUGCAUCCAAUGCACUCACUCCUGUUUUCAGCUGCAGAAAUAUUCAUCCUUUGAGCUCAUCUACAAUCUGAAUUCAUCUUAGCCACGCCACCAAAACACACCCUCCUUGUAAAUCUGGCAGAUAUUCUUAGUUCUUUUAAACCCUUAGAAGGGAAGAAAUAAAACACUGUUUACCUUGUCUGUUUUUUUAGAGGAUAGUUAACAUAUAUUGCUUUUCCCUAUGCACAACCUUCAAGGCUGAACAAUCACAAAAGGAAACACUAAAGUGUUUUAGUAGCCAUCUGAAGAUAUUUUGGCUGUAAAUCCCAUAAACAUGAGCUGAUGAGUUACCCUUUUUUUGGCAGUCAUCUCGUUGCAAUUAAAAAGACAAUUCCUGCAGCACAGUUCUUUGCAAGCUGUGCUUAAAAGAGCAAUCCCCUGGCGUGCCACAGAGCACAAAAGCCACAGGUCUAAGUCAUGGGGGUAACAGGACCUCCCACAUCAGCUGAGAUGAAGUUGAUAUUGAUUGUCAGGGUAUUAAUAGAUGAACUUAUCACACCUUUUUUGCAACAAUUUAAGGAGUUACUAACACCAUAUUUGUGGUUGCCAUGCUCAAAGUGAUGUCAAGAGAAUGUACUCAAUGCCCCAACAGCUUCAGUGUCAAGUCUGUUGGUUUAGGUAAAAUUUCACUUCACCUGCAGUUUAAAGCAAGAAGCAGACUGGCAGUAAAGCAGCUGGGGUGGGGCACACCUCCUGUUCUGCUGGUUUUGCUGUGGAAAGGGGCAACUUCCAAGACUGUCAGUAAGUGGAGGACAUAACUCCAUAGGCCACCACAGAGCCAUUCACAGGAUCUCAUUUAGCAGUGCCUCUAGUCUCUGGCAAGUUCAAGUUUAUUUAAAAAAGGCAGCCCCUCCUAGCUCUCUGGAUUGCCAGCUCAGCUAGUGCUAAGCUGAUUUGAAUUACUUCUCAUGUGCUCAGGUCACACAUAGAGCUCCUAUGCCUCAGCAAACACACGGCAAUUUAUGUACAUGUUUUGCAUUUCAGAUGUCCAUGAAUAUUUUAUUAGUGGAAAUAUUCAUUUGCAUAGUACUUACUGAAGUAAAUUUUUGAGGUCCUCAGGACUGCAGAACAAAACAAACCACCUGGACUGAAAAAGAAGCAAUUAUGGAGCUGGAAGAGAGCUGAGGGUUUAAUGCCAUGAAAUACUGUUAAUAUCCUGGAAGCAAGUCAGCAGGGACAGCACGAUGACAGGACCUUCAAGCUACUUCCCAGACUUCCACAUGACAGAGAAGAAAAAUGUGGUGGAACUGAAGGUAGAAAUUGACUCAUGGGUAUGGCCAAUCCUCUUGCAUAGGUAUUUUUCAGGGUUCUGUUCUUGCUUAAGCACAGCUCCCCAUAAAGCUAAGGCUCCACUGAUUUUCUAAAGUGCUUUUUUUAAUUAAGUAAUUGCAAAAAACUGCUCUACUAUAGUAGAGAAUGUUUUGGGGGGAAAAAAAAGCAGCUUUAAGAUAAAAAUUAGGACUUAUGUCUUCAAACAAAAAUAGAAGAAUUAUACAUGGCAAAUAGCUAAAAACCUCUUUGGUAAGUUAAUUCAAAUUGAGCUGAGAAUGUUGGAUUUAUUGCUGUGGGGAGCUUGACUGAAUGGCUCAAAAUUCUUAUGCCACUUUUGUUUUCUUCUCCAUAUUACUGAGAUUGCUGCACUGUGCCAAACAAGUAAGCCUGGAAAAGAAUUUCCUUGCUAGGAUCUACUUUGAGGCUGCAAGUUAGCAGAGGAGAUAGACCCUCCCCGUGAUGAGUGAAUUAGAACAUACACAUACCAUGAGCAACAGUAAGGAUCUGACAUGGGGCUGUUUUCUGCCUGGCCACAGGUUCAUGUAGGCUGUAUUCAGCAGUCUUCUGUAGGUGCCCUGAACAGUCUUCUAAGCUUCACUGAAGAGGUAAAUAAAAUCUCUGUUCAAGAGGUGAAAAGCUUUUUUGCUGUGUACCUGUCACACUAGACAGUCUCCUGUCCUCAAGCACAGAGAUUCAGGACAGAGUAUUGCCCACAAGGAUAGACUUCAUUUUAACUCCACUGUUCAGAAGUAAUCUUGCAAGAAUGACUGUGGACCCAAAAAGGUCAGAAUAGCUGGAGUUCAUCAAACAAUUAAACACACCAGCUCUGUAUUUUGAAUAGAAAAUAAGACCAAGAGGAGGGAGUAGCAGUAGUGUCUGUGGUUUUCACAAAAACUCAAAAAGUAAAUAAGUAGAUUUAUUCGGAGAUUUCUUGCAUCCACAAAAGGGAAACUGAUGGUGAGAACUGAAGAAAUAGGACUAAUAUGAAAAAAAAAAAAAAAGGCGUGCCUUUACCUACAACACUCAAAUAUCUCCCUGGGGGAAUUAAAAAAACCCAGCCAACCUACUUCUGUACAUGAAAGUUGUGAAAACACGAAAGCAAAAUAUUCUGAGGAACAUAUUUUAAAUCUCAGAGAGUAACCUCCACUUGAGUUGGGCCUUUUUUCCUCAAAGGGGAUAGGCAGAUUUUAACUUACCUAUCAUCCUAAAGGGGAGAAUUUCAUUGUUGAUCUAGUUCAACUCUAGCAGACAUUACUGGUCAUAUUUAGCCACAAAAUAACAAUUCCUAGAACCUCCACCCACUUACACUCUGAAAGCGAACCACAGCUACUGUUUCUCAUCUGUGCAUAAAUGCUUACCUUUACAACAUAAGGUGCUGGGAUUUCUUCAGAGUGCUUUUAAACCAGUAUGUUGCUAACAUUGUCCCUGUCACACCUCCAGAAACAGGAAGAAAGCACAGAGAAGCACUUAGUAGCAAGAUGCAAAUCCGUGGUUUACAGAUAGAUAGACAACCUUCCUCUGCCUUCUCCUUUGAAACUGUGUGUGGGCUUCACUUGUUGAGUUGGGCUUCUUGCAGGCAAUGUCACAUGGCAUAACUACCAUUAGUAUUGGCUGAUGAAACAGGUAAGUUGAGUUUCUUGUGCAGAUUUUUCUCUAAAGGCAGAUUGGAAAUGGAAACUCUCUAUUUGUCUUUAUUUUAAUUAGUGAAAAGCUGAUGGAAGCACAAACCAAUGCGGCAUCCUAAUUGUUUCAUCAGUGAAAUUAUAAGUAGAUUCUUACAAAAAAUUAUUGAAAUAGCAAAACAAUCCAGAGCUAUGAAAAGCUGAGACAAGCCUCUUGUCCGAACAGGCUGGAGUAUUCUUCAGAGUUGUACUAGAUUGGAAGUGAAAUUUUGCCCUUUGGGAUGAUUGGCAAGUUAGAAUCUGCCUUUCCCCUCUGAAGAAAAAAGGCCCAGCUGAAGUGGAGGAUACCACUUACAUGACUCCUUUCAUCCUGCUAAGCAAACAGUGAAUGGAUGUAACUCAGCAUUUUUGGUGAAAACAGCCUGCUUUGGCUCAGUGCAGAAGAGAGGGCUGAAGACAUAAACAUACACAUUUGAAUAGGGGAUGAAUUUUCCCCAUGCUUCUGAUAGAAAAUGUAAUUGCAUCAGAUGUUCUCUGAAAACUGCCAGUUUGCUUAAGAACACUCAGUAUAUUACCUCAAUAACUGCUUGCCUACACUUCACAGACAGAAUGCAAGGACGUGCUUUUCUCUCAAUUGCAGAUGAGAAAUAAGGUCUCAGGCUUGAUAAUACUUCCAAUCUGCUUCACAAGCAAAUGACUGAUUUUAAUUAUUUUUUAACUGUUAACAUGGAAGCAGACUUAUCUUUAGAUAGAGGCAGCCAAGAAAACAAGGACAAUGCAUAUGAACCCCUUUCCCUGUUUUCCCCAGUUUCACUGCUUGAGAAUUGAGGAUUAUUUUUUAAGAAGAGAAAAACAGCAAAAGCAUUUUAUAUGUCUCUUCAGUAGCCAAAGAGAAUUUAUCAGAAUCUCGGCAAUAACACUCAUGUUCAAGUGCAAUUUAUGCCAGAUGAAUGAUGAAUCUCUAUCAUGGCAAUUUAGGGUCCUCCAGCUUGGACCACAUGAAGAUUUCUUCAGGGUAUGUGGAGAUGUGUCUCCUUAGCUAAUGCUUCCUUGGGGAAAGGCAGAACACAGGCAAAUUCAAGGGAAAGCAAAAGCUGACAGAGGAGAUUGUGGCAUUCCUUCCAAGACCCAGUAAAGAACCACAAAAGGAUUUUAGAGGUUUUAGGGCAGCUACUGCCUGCAGAAACCCCCACAGCAUCAAUCCAGUUAUGCUGCUGUGCUGCAAGGGGAUGGAAAAGCUAGCAGAGAGGAGUAACUUCCCUUCAUGAUUAGCCUGGGCAUCACAGUCCAUUUCAAAAAUGAAGGAACUUGUCCUGCUGGUAGAAUAAUGAAUCAUUAAAACGACAAGAAGAAUUACUAAAGUGCUCCUUUGCUCUUGGCUUUCAGAUGAACUUCCAAACUGGCUUUUAAUCUUCCUGGUGGGGAUGACUUCCUCAGAGAGUCAACAGAAGACAAUCCUCUAAUACUUUUUAUCUUGGCAACCUUUUAAAGUGCAAUGCAUGUAUAAAUAAAUGCCAUUAUUAACUCCAUGGAAAAAUGCCUAGCAUUCUCAGAGUUGAAAAUGCAAAUCAAUUAUGCAGUGUCUUAAUUCUAGCAUCUUCAAAAAAGGAAAAAUUCUAAUGACAUAUUACAUUGCUUUGUGAAUCAAUUCCAAAUUAUUGGAAAUUGUCACACAUCCCCAUUCAUUAAGAAGCUUUAUUUUUAAGCAUAUUCAAGACAUUUUUGGAUCAAUGUAAAGACUACACUGACCACAGAGCUUUAGAGUAGACCUUAAAUUAUGAUUUUCCUAGUCUGUCUGACUAAUUUGGCAGCAAUAAAAGACUCUGCAUUUCCACUUCAGACACAGGGAGCUUCACAGGUCUUUCAAAAGCCUCAGGUUUAAUUAGUCAUUGAAAAAGAGUGGUUAUUUAAUAGGAAAAAAAAAUUAUGGUACCUAGAGUCUUAAAGACUUUAAAACUAGAGGGGACUGUGAAACCCCACAGCCUUUCCAGGGUUGCAAAUCAUCUAAUGGUUCAGAAAUCAUGACAGAGUGGGAAGAUGGGAGAGAGUUGAUCCUCUUUUUCCCAUUUUAUUUCAAGAGCUGUGUAUCUUAGCCGGGUGAAAAAAACCUCUCUGCUUAGUUUAAAA
Long non-coding RNA from Haemorhous mexicanus (house finch), 6689 nucleotides. RefSeq lists it as uncharacterized. The record is from RefSeq and is a predicted model, not a curated record. The transcript has 3 exons. NCBI's taxonomy places the organism in Eukaryota, Metazoa, Chordata, Aves, Passeriformes, Fringillidae.